UGGGGCGCGCGGCGCGCUGAUUGGCCCCGGGCGGAAAUGGGAGGGGAGCGACCGAGGUGAUAUAAAGGGCGGCGCGGCGCGUGCCUCUGCGGUGUGGCGGCGGCGGGCAAGGUGGAGAGCAAACCAACUGCCUUACGACAGUCAUCUUCAGUUUGGUACUGGUUUGUGACCCAAGAAAGGAUUUUCCCACUGACUGAGCUGAAGUAAGACAGAGGGGCUUGUCCUGAAAGUGAAGUAAGACUUUGAGUUCCAAGGAGGGGACAUGCCAGCUCUCAUUCUCAGAAGGGUCAAACUCAAAGUACAUCCAUUCAUAGUCACCUUCAGUCACCCCUAUACGUAGGGUCUGAAUGCAUUUUCAACAUGAGAUUGUCACCUGCAGG
Chiroxiphia lanceolata (lance-tailed manakin) is the source of this 380-nucleotide long non-coding RNA. RefSeq lists it as uncharacterized. The transcript has 3 exons. Lineage: Eukaryota; Metazoa; Chordata; Aves; Passeriformes; Pipridae. The record is from RefSeq and is a predicted model, not a curated record.